UACGGAGGGUGCAAGCGUUAUCCGGAUUUACUGGGUUUAAAGGGUGCGCAGGCGGAUAUGUAAGUCAGUGGUGAAAUCUCCGGGCUUAACCCGGAAACUCCCGUUGAUACUAUAUAUCUUGAAUGCUGUGGAGGUAAGCAGAAUAUGUCAUGUAGCGGUGAAAUGCUUAGAGAUGACAUAGAAUACCUAUUGCGAAGGCAGCUUACUACGCAGAUAUUGACGCUCAUGCACGAAAGCGUGGGGAGCGAACAGG
RNAcentral lists this ribosomal RNA (253 nucleotides) under uncultured bacterium. RNAcentral describes it as "partial 16S ribosomal RNA". It matches the Rfam family "Bacterial small subunit ribosomal RNA", at positions 524 to 776 of the family's 1533-position model. The record is from RNAcentral.